GGAUGCGAGGAUGAUCUGGCUGUGGCAUCUGUCGCCCCACUGAUCACCAGGGUUGAUUCAGCUGAUCUUCCUGGCUAGGCAGGUGUCCCCUUCCUCCCUCAUGGCUCCAUGUCCCUCCCCAAGCUGCGCCUUCCCUGAACAGAGACAAAUCAUUCUUUGGUGGAGGGUAUAGGAGUAGCUGCGUCCCCAUGUUAGACCCUCCAAACAAGCUCUCAAGAUUCCAUUCCUGCCCAAAAUUCUAUGUACCACAUUAAAAACUGAAGAUGUUUUAUUU
This 274-nucleotide small nuclear RNA is filed under the name Erinaceus europaeus (western European hedgehog). RNAcentral's name for it is "7SK RNA". It matches the Rfam family "7SK RNA". Rfam says of the family: 7SK was discovered as an abundant small nuclear RNA in the mid-70s but a possible function has only recently been suggested. Lineage: Eukaryota; Metazoa; Chordata; Mammalia; Eulipotyphla; Erinaceidae. The record is from Rfam by way of RNAcentral.